Poecilia latipinna (sailfin molly) is the source of this 699-nucleotide long non-coding RNA. RefSeq lists it as uncharacterized. The record is from RefSeq and is a predicted model, not a curated record. The transcript is spliced from 2 exons. Lineage: Eukaryota; Metazoa; Chordata; Actinopteri; Cyprinodontiformes; Poeciliidae.
UCAAGUACCACAACACUGCCGCAUGGUACAAAAUGUGGGACAAAGUAGAGGCAAAAAAUAUGGUAGAUUUAAAUAAGCUUGAUCAUCUUUAAACUGGUUUCCUCUGGAAGUAUUUCAAGAGAGAAUAAAACUCAUUAGUGAUAUUAUUUCCCACCUGAUUCAGAAUCGGUCUACAUUCACCGUUCUGAGUAGGUGAAGCUGCUUAUGCUGGGUUAUUACAGAUAGUUGUUGGAGGUAUUCUUGACAUGACUGUAACUCUGUCCCUGAUCCCCGUCGACCUCUCCACAGAACAAAGGAAGUGAUUCAAUAACGACGCGACACCUCGAGGCAUGCAGGCAAACCAAGCAGCUUCAGAAGAGAUCAGUCAUUAUGCCUCCUCUCCUUUAUCUCCUGUCUGCCUUCCUCACUCUCCAGCCCUCUCCGUCGCUCUUCAGACAGGUAACGGUGCUGCAACAGCUUCGACAUUCGCUGAGUGAAGCCGUCAGGAAACGUGAGGCGCAAACACCAAGUUCAGAGCAGAAAGGUAAAGAUUUCCUGGACCUUCUAGUUUCCAACACUCAGAUAUGGUCACAAGAUAAGGAUCAGAACUGAAACUCAAGCAGGCAGCUUCUUUCCUGAGCGUCCGAGAUCAGCAUUAGACAUAAGAUGAAGAGUAAAACCUCUGCUUCCCCUCUUAAAAAUGAGGCUGCAUUCACACAA